RNAcentral lists this small RNA (990 nucleotides) under uncultured Enterobacteriaceae bacterium. RNAcentral describes it as "bacterial SSU rRNA". The stretch from base 1 to 488 matches the Rfam family "Bacterial small subunit ribosomal RNA", at positions 1045 to 1533 of the family's 1533-position model. The record is from RNAcentral. Lineage: Bacteria; Pseudomonadati; Pseudomonadota; Gammaproteobacteria; Enterobacterales; Enterobacteriaceae.
AUGGCUGUCGUCAGCUCGUGUUGUGAAAUGUUGGGUUAAGUCCCGCAACGAGCGCAACCCUUAUCCUUUGUUGCCAGCGAUUCGGUCGGGAACUCAAAGGAGACUGCCGGUGAUAAACCGGAGGAAGGUGGGGAUGACGUCAAGUCAUCAUGGCCCUUACGAGUAGGGCUACACACGUGCUACAAUGGCGCAUACAAAGAGAAGCGACCUCGCGAGAGCAAGCGGACCUCAUAAAGUGCGUCGUAGUCCGGAUCGGAGUCUGCAACUCGACUCCGUGAAGUCGGAAUCGCUAGUAAUCGUGGAUCAGAAUGCCACGGUGAAUACGUUCCCGGGCCUUGUACACACCGCCCGUCACACCAUGGGAGUGGGUUGCAAAAGAAGUAGGUAGCUUAACCUUCGGGAGGGCGCUUACCACUUUGUGAUUCAUGACUGGGGUGAAGUCGUAACAAGGUAACCGUAGGGGAACCUGCGGUUGGAUCACCUCCUUACCUGAAGAUACUGCCUUUCGAAGUGCUCACACAGAUUGUCUGAUAGAAAGUAUGAGCAAGGCGUCUUGCGAAGCAGGCUAUAUGUCCCCUUCGUCUAGAGGCCCAGGACACCGCCCUUUCACGGCGGUAACAGGGGUUCGAAUCCCCUAGGGGACGCCACUUGCUGGUUUGUGAGUGAAAGUCGCCGACCCUCCUAUCUUAAAGAUGACUUACGAGUCAUGUUUAAGAUAUUGCUCUUUAACAAUCCGGAACAAGCUGAAAAUUGAAACGACGCGUCGCGUUAUUCCUCCGUAACAAGGAAUAAAGGCGAAGCGUUCGAGUCUCUCAAUUAAUCACAUCCGCGACGUCGCAAGACGCCUGUGGGUUGUGAGGUUAAGCGACUAAGCGUACACGGUGGAUGCCCUGGCAGUCAGAGGCGAUGAAGGACGUGCUAAUCUGCGAAAAGCGCCGGCAAGGUGAUAUGAACCGCUACAGCCGGCGAUGUCCGAAUGGGGAAACCCGG